Molecule: long non-coding RNA, 1278 nt
Filed under: Sparus aurata (gilthead seabream)
Lineage: Eukaryota; Metazoa; Chordata; Actinopteri; Spariformes; Sparidae
Description: lncRNA (ENSSAUG00010021259.1)
Source: RNAcentral
AUGUUAGGGAGCCAAUCAUCAUCACUUAUGCGGUUGUCUCGCUCCUCCCUCCUCCCUCACCGGAGGAAAAAAAAAAUUUCAGACCAUCGACUCAGUCUUUGUCCGGGGAAUUAUGCAGCAGUUCACACAAUUUUUCUGACUUCAGCGUACAUUAUUCACACCGACAAUAGCAGGCCACCGAAUUAUAAAGCAACGACUUCGUCAGCGGAAGGUGUUGCUUGAGCAAGCCCCGACGGCAGCAUGCAUCGACGGCAGUAGGCCCCGACGCGCGUGGACUGCGAGGGCCCGUUCAACGCUGCUUGCAGCUUUAAUUCUUAUUUGUAAUUAUAUUUCCUAUAGAUGUCAUGAUCUUAAUUCUAUUUUAUUCUUGUGUAUUCUGUGAAGUUUUUUAAAGUAGCCAAGUUUUUUAAAUCUUGUACUUUUAUCCAUCCUGUGAAGCAUUUUUUACUAGCCAAGGUUUUAGUUUUGAACCACACUGGAGAGUUUGCUGUGUGUAAUUCUCUUAGACACAUUAAAAAAUUCAUAUCAAGUGUUGAGCGGUGUAUCCUCUUGGUCCACCCACCCUCCCACACAGUCUUAGAGAGACUGAGGCAGCCGGCGAGGUUGUGAAGCCAGGCUGCAAAGAGGAUACCCCAACUCAACUUUUAGAUUUUACCAUUGUCAGUUUAAGAUUUGUGCAUGUUUUAAAUCAAAAUGUGACUGCUGAAAAAAACCAACAUAUUAUACUUUUUCACUCAAAAUGGUGUUAAACAAUUUCUUAAUCCCUGCAAUUAAUAAGUAUUAGUUAAGUCACAAAUUCCUAGUAUUUUUUAUUUAUUAUGAUUAUUAUUAUUUAUUUAUUAUUUUAAGACUCACCAGAUUUUUUCAUGAGCUGCUGCAGGAGAUUACACAGUACACAGGAUUGUGAUAGCUGUAGUACGUUUUCAUGACACCUGAAGUGAGACAGUGUUGUGGUUGAGAGAUGAAAAUGAGGUCCAGCAGUGUGUUCUUCUCUGUGGUUGCAGCAGUGAUCAGUUGGGCAUAUUCCCUCGACCGAAACAGCUCCAGUAUUGGCAUACUUCCGUUGGAUAAGAGAUUCUCAUUGAAAUCACCACAGACAAUGAUGGGGUGGCAAUCCAUUAUCUCCAGUGAAUCCAAAAGGCUUACCAGGUUUGACAGGAAUGAUGCAAUGCUGUAGUCUGGAGGUCUGUACACAGCUGCAAUCAGCGCACUCAUAGGGGCUUCAACCUUCAGAGCCACAAACUCAAGAUCAGUCACAUUAUGUAGAUACUGUUUUUC